UACGAAGGUGGCGAGCGUUACUCGGAAUUACUAGGCGUAAAGGGCAGGUAGGUGGUUUGAUAAGUCUGUUGUGAAAACUCUCGGCUUAACCGGGAGAGGUCAACGGAAACUGUUAGACUUGAGUGUGGGAGAGGGUACUGGAAUUCCCGGUGUAGCGGUGAAAUGCGCAGAGUUCGGGAGGAACACCUAUGGCGAAAGCAGGUACCUGGACCACUACUGACACUCAGCUGCGAAAGCUAGGGGAG
RNAcentral lists this ribosomal RNA (245 nucleotides) under uncultured bacterium. Its description in RNAcentral is "partial 16S ribosomal RNA". It matches the Rfam family "Bacterial small subunit ribosomal RNA", at positions 524 to 768 of the family's 1533-position model. The record is from RNAcentral.